Molecule: ribosomal RNA, 491 nt
Filed under: uncultured bacterium
Lineage: Bacteria
Description: partial 16S ribosomal RNA
Rfam family: Bacterial small subunit ribosomal RNA
Source: RNAcentral
AGUGAACGCUGGCGGUAGGCCUAACACAUGCAAGUCGAACGGCAGCACAGUAAGAGCUUGCUCUUACGGGUGGCGAGUGGCGGACGGGUGAGGAAUACAUCGGAAUCUACUUUUUCGUGGGGGAUAACGUAGGGAAACUUGCGCUAAUACCGCAUACGACCUACGGGUGAAAGCAGGGGAUCUUCGGACCUUGCGCGAUUGAAUGAGCCGAUGUCGGAUUAGCUAGUUGGCGGGGUAAAGGCCCACCAAGGCGACGAUCCGUAGCUGGUCUGAGAGGAUGAUCAGCCACACUGGAACUGAGACACGGUCCAGAACCCUACGGGAGGCAGCAGGGGGGAAUUUUGGACAAUGGGCGCAAGCCUGAUCCAGCCAUACCGCGUGGGGGAAGAAGGCCUUCGGGUUGUAAAGCCCUUUUGUUGGGAAAAAAAAGCAGCAGGUUAAUACCCCGCUGUUCUGACGGUACCAAAAGAAUAAGCACCGGCUAACUUCGU